CCGUCGCCGUCCGCGGGGCCUCCUGUCCGACGGCUGCUGCGGCUGCCGCUAGGGCAGCUGGUCUCCGCUUCGUCCGGCCCAGCCGAGGGACAGCAGCCGUUGCAGCCGGCCUCCAGUGCCCCCUCUCCCGCUGCAGCUCCGGGGCAUUUCUCCUCGCCCGGGCUCCAGCUGCGCCUGCUUUCGACCCGGCUCGCCGAGUCGCUGCUCACAGCCAUAGCGAGAGAUUGUGCUUUUCCUUUCUGCCCCUUCCCACUUCCCCGGCGGGGGCGGGGGACUGGGGGGUCGUGGGGUGCGUAGCUAUAACUCUCAAGAAUGCGCCCCCUCUUCCCUCCCUCCCGCCCGGGAAAAAAGGAUCCUGUUCUUGGCCACCUGCGCACAGUAGCAGUAAUAGUAGUAGUCGCAGUAAUGUCUCCUAAAACAACGUUCUUGUAGAGGAGGGAAUCGGAAGAAAAAGAAGGGGGAAUGUCAAUCUUUUUCUCUGUUUAGGGAGAACAGAAAUGGAGCCGCGCAGCUGCAAGGGCUGCGUGCACAAGAGGCGAUGCCCUAAAGUGGAAAUAAUGGCUCUUUAGGAGGAGUUGCACGACAUCAGGCAGGGACUGCACAUUUGCCAUAGAAUCGUCGCAGAGUAAGUUGCAAGGGGCCCGUAAGGCCAUCGGGUCCAGCCCGCCGCUCCGUGCACGAGUCCGAAGGGUUUCCGUCAGAGCGUUUGGAAAUCCAAGUUUCGUCCUACUCUCCGGGUGAAACGCAGAAAGGAAAAUGAAGUCACGCGCCGGGCUGUCAGUUUGCCGUCUUCGUUACAGAAAUACUUUGUGUGACGUCCAGUGGAAGUCAAGACCCAGGCAAGUAUGCAUAAUACUGCUGUCUGAGUAUAAGGGUUUUUUUCCUGCACCAAAGGUUUCCAUUCCAAUACUUGAGUUAGGGGGAAACAUUCUAGGGUAUUUAUUUGCCAUACAAAAUUAACCUGACAUAAUUUGUUUGGCUUUAAAACGAGGGUUUGUUAAAUAGUUCAGACAUGCUGCAGAAUAUCUGAAAUGAUUUAGGGCUGCCACAAAGAAAUUCCUGAAACUUUUCCAGAAAAUUCACACCAUUAGUCUUCUCUUACUAUGUACACUUCAGGUUUCGCAGUACCCCAUGCUUUUUCUAGCCCUAAGAAACAGCAUUGCCUUUGCUAAAACAUAGGGCUGGGUACUGCAGACUACACCAUAAUCCUCUCUCCUUUUCCAUCAGUAAAAUUUCUAGUAGAACUGGAGAUCAUGCUGUCUUCUAUCGUUGUCAUAUCAUGUUUAAGCCCUGAUUUUUUCCCUCUUGUGAGGAACCCAGAGUGGCUAAGAAGCUCCAUUGUUAUCCUCUCCACAACAACAUUGCAAAGUAGGCUAAACAGAUGUGAUUGGCCCAGAUUCUCUCAGGGCACUUCCUGUCUAGAACCUAGUGAGGACUAGAACCUAAAUCUCCCAGGUCCCCACUCCCAACUCUUAACAGUUUGGUGCCAUGCAGAGGUGGGUCAUGACCUUUUUUCCCCUGCAGUGGAGGGCAGGACACCUUGCAAUGGAGCAAAGUUCAGGGAACCAAGAUUUAGGGUGAAUGCCAGGAAGUACUUCCUAAUGGUUAGGACCCCGAGGGUAUGGAAUUGACUUUCAUGGGAAGUGAUUGAAACCCCAGUGGCAAAGGUGUUCAAGGAUAGGCUGGACAUGCACAUGAUAGGCGUGUCAUGAACAGAGCUGGCUGGAGCCAGGGGUUAGACUAGAUGACCUGGGAGACCCCUUCAGACUCACUCUGUUUCUAUGUUUCUAUGCCGCACUGACUGUAUAUUGCUAUGCAGAUGUGGGAAAUUGAACUCUCUGAGCUGAAAUUGGCAAAAGGUAUUGAUUCU
Long non-coding RNA from Varanus komodoensis (Komodo dragon), 1870 nucleotides. RefSeq lists it as uncharacterized. Lineage: Eukaryota; Metazoa; Chordata; Lepidosauria; Squamata; Varanidae. The record is from RefSeq and is a predicted model, not a curated record. The transcript has 2 exons.